Molecule: RNA transcript, 2229 nt
Organism: Vitis vinifera (wine grape)
Lineage: Eukaryota; Viridiplantae; Streptophyta; Magnoliopsida; Vitales; Vitaceae
Gene name: DNA-binding protein RHL1
Exons: 3
Source: RefSeq, a predicted model, not a curated record
UACGCAAAACAGAUGGUGUGAAAACGACGUCGUUUAGGUUAGCUUCUUUAACACUAAAACCCUAACGCGGGCUCCUAGAUCUACAAAUUUGCGUCUCCGCAUCGAUCAGCGCUCUGUACUUCCAGAAUCCUACAAAUUUGGGAUGAAUCAACUUGUUGAAGCUGCAGCCUUAAUUUCAUCCACAAACCAUCAUCCUUGCUCUAAUUGACUGUUUCAAGCUUAGAAAGUUGUCACACUGGUUUUCUGGGAUAUGAUUAUCAGUAACUCUUAAUAACUAUUCUCCAAGAGAAGUAGGGCAGGCAGAAUGGUACGAGUUUCAAAGAAGAAUGAAAAUGGUGGAGUAUCUGAACUGAAUCCAGAAGCUGAAGAGCGUAAAAGACGAAAAAAAUUGGCGUUCUCCAAGAACUUACUGUCAGAUACUCCUUCAAAAGCGUUUUCAGCUCUGAGCCCUUCAAAAACAGUGAUCAAACACCAUGGAAAAGAUAUUCUGAAGAAAUCUCAGAGGAAGAAUCGGUUCCUCUUCUCAUUCCCAGGUCUUCUUGCUCCUAUUGCUGGUGGCAAGAUUGGUGAACUCAAGGAUUUGGGAACCAAGAAUCCUAUACUCUACCUUGAUUUCCCUCAGGGUCAAAUGAAGUUGUUUGGGACUAUAGUUUACCCGAAGAACAGGUAUUUGACUCUGCAUUUCUCUAGAGGCGGAAAAAAUGUAAUGUGUGAGGAUUACUUUGAUAAUAUGAUUGUAUUUUCUGAUGCAUGGUGGAUUGGGAGAAAGGAGGAGAAUCCAGAAGAAGCCCGACUCGAGUUUCCUAAAGAACUGAGUGAAGGACAAAGUGUUGAAUACGACUUUAAAGGGGGUGCAGGCAUGGCAUCUGACAGUAAGCAAGGUGUUAAUAAACCUGAAAUGAAAUAUGUAGAACCGCAGUCACCUAAACCUGAGCUAGAAGAUGAUUUGUCUGGUGAAGACAGUUUGAAAGAUGUGGUUGAAAUGACACCGAAAGAUGUUGAAGUGACACCAGUUCGACAUUCACAGAGAACUGCAGGAAAAACAUUCAAUUUUGCAGAAGCUUCUUCUGGAGAUGAUUCUGUUGAAAAUGAUGGCAACAUAUCUGAUGGACAAGAAAAUUCUGGCUCUGCAACACCUGAAAGUGGCAAUGAAGAUGCUGAAGCAAGGACUGGAGCAACCACACAAAUUCAAGAGUCUGCUGGGGCAGCUACCAAGUCAAGGAAACGACUAUCUCAAGCUACUAUAUCCACAUUGUUUAAGAAAGUGGAGGAACAGAAAACAUCCAGAACUCCAAGGAAAUCCUCAUCAGCCAAAGCUUCUGCUCAGAAGACUGAUUCCAGGAAAGCUCCGGAACACGGGAAAAAAAGAAAAGUAAUUGAGGAAACAAAAUCUGAGAUAGACAUCUCAACAGAAAGUGAACAAUCUGAUGAGGAAAAGAAAACAUCUAGAACCCCAAGGAAAUCGUCAUCAACCAAAGUUUCUGCCCGGAAGACUGAUGCCAGGAAAGCCCAGGGACCCAGGAAAAGGAGAAAAGUAAUCGAGGAAACAAAAUCUGAGAUAGACAUCUCAACAGAAGGCGAGCAAUCUGAUAAUCCGACCUCUGAUGCUUCUGUUAGAGUGUACAAGAGAAAGAUGAAAAGCCCUGCAGCUUAAACAGCAUUGGCCCAAUGACUUGACUAGUGAGUCCAACUCCAGCUUCAAAGAUUUCUCUUCCAUUGAUCUUCAGAAUCCCACCCAACUCCACGCAGCCGACUGGGUUGUGAUGACUCGUCAACCACAAGAUGGAGAAAGAAUGUAUGGAAACUACUAGAUGUAGGGAGUGCAGACACGAAGCAUGGCCAGUUGGAGUUAAUUGUUUAUUCUGACCCAACAUAUCCCAGACAUUUGAAAGGGCCCGAGCCAAGAGUGUAGACUGUAGAACACAACCCCACCGGUUGUAGCUCUGUAAGUGUUUUAUUCGACAUCUUCUUUUAUCAAUUCAAUUAUUUGUUCUAUGUACGAACCUCUACAAAACUGAGCUCAUUGCUUUUAAAAUACUGAACCUGGAGAGCAAAAAUUGGAAUAAGGGUAGUUCAGACUUCAGAGGAGUCAUUCUCUGCUAUUAAAUUGCCAGCAUACCCUCUACUUUUCAGUACUGGAAAUUGAGCUCAGUAGAACUGUAAGUGCUUUAAAAGUCUUAUUCUAUAAUUUAAUGGUUGGGAACUUGGGAUUGGAUGGGGUGCGUGGUA